GGGUAUAUGGUUUAGUGGUACAACAUUUGCUUAGUAUGUAAAGGGUCCGGUGUUCAAUUUGCUGCUUGUCCA
RNAcentral lists this transfer RNA (72 nucleotides) under Sphaerobolus stellatus SS14. RNAcentral describes it as "tRNA-Thr (AGT) (tRNA-Thr-AGT-16-1)". It matches the Rfam family "tRNA". Rfam says of the family: Transfer RNA (tRNA) molecules are approximately 80 nucleotides in length. Their secondary structure includes four short double-helical elements and three loops (D, anti-codon, and T loops). The record is from RNAcentral. Lineage: Eukaryota; Fungi; Basidiomycota; Agaricomycetes; Geastrales; Sphaerobolaceae.